GACGAACGCUGGCGGCGUGCUUAACACAUGCAAGUCGAACGGUGAAGCAGAGCUUGCUCUGUGGAUCAGUGGCGAACGGGUGAGUAACACGUGAGUAACCUGCCCUUGACUCUGGGAUAAGCGUUGGAAACGACGUCUAAUACCGGAUACGAGCUGAGACCGCAUGGUCAUCAGUUGGAAAGAUUUUUUGGUCAAGGAUGGACUCACGGCCUAUCAGCUUGUUGGUGAGGUAAUGGCUCACCAAGGCGACGACGGGUAGCCGGCCUGAGAGGGUGACCGGCCACACUGGGACUGAGACACGGCCCAGACUCCUACGGGAGGCAGCAGUGGGGAAUAUUGCACAAUGGGCGCAAGCCUGAUGCAGCAACGCCGCGUGAGGGAUGACGGCCUUCGGGUUGUAAACCUCUUUUAGUAGGGAAGAAGCGAAAGUGACGGUACCUGCAGAAAAAGCACCGGCUAACUACGUG
RNAcentral lists this ribosomal RNA (467 nucleotides) under uncultured bacterium. RNAcentral's name for it is "partial 16S ribosomal RNA". It matches the Rfam family "Bacterial small subunit ribosomal RNA", at positions 28 to 507 of the family's 1533-position model. The record is from RNAcentral.